RNAcentral lists this ribosomal RNA (1967 nucleotides) under human gut metagenome. Its description in RNAcentral is "bacterial LSU rRNA". It matches the Rfam family "Bacterial large subunit ribosomal RNA", at positions 1 to 1982 of the family's 2925-position model. The record is from RNAcentral.
GUAAAUAAUUAAGGGCGUAUGGUGGAUGCCUAGGCUCUCAGAGGCGAAGAAGGACGUGAUAAGCUGCGAAAAGCUCCGUUUAGGUGCAAAUAACCUUUGAUGCGGAGAUCUCCGAAUGGGAUAACCCAAUAUGUUGAAGACAUAUUAUACCGUAAGGUAGGCAAACGCAGGGAACUGAAACAUCUAAGUACCUGCAGGAGAAGAAAACAAACGUGAUUCCCCCAGUAGCGGCGAGCGACCGGGGAUAAGCCCAAACCGUUAUUGUUUCGGCAGUAGCGGGGUAGUAGGACUGCGACAUUGAUGAAAUAAAUGAAAUGGAACACCUUGGAAAAUGUGAUCACAGAGGGUGAUAAUCCCGUACAUGCAAGUUUAUGAAUCAUAGCAGACUCCUGAGUAAGUCGGGACACGUGUAAUCCUGACCGAAUCCGCCGGGACCAUCCGGCAAGGCUAAAUACUCCUGAGAGACCGAUAGUGAACCAGUACCGUGAGGGAAAGGUGAAAAGCACUUCGAACAGAAGAGUGAAAUAGUCCCUGAACCCAUACGCCUACAAGCUGUCGGAGCCGCUUCGUGCGGUGACGGCGUGCCUUUUGCAUAAUGAGCCUACGAGUUACUCAUCACCAGCGAGGUUAAGUACUUCAGGUACGUAAGCCGAAGCGAAAGCGAGUCUGAAUAGGGCGUCAAGUUGGUGGUGGUAGACGCGAAACCUUAGUGAUCUACCCAUGGGCAGGGUGAAGGUUUGGUAACACAAACUGGAGGCCCGAACCGGUAAACGUUGAAAAGUUUUCGGAUGACCUGUGGGUAGGGGUGAAAGGCCAAUCAAACUGGGAAAUAGCUCGUACUCUCCGAAAUGCAUUUAGGUGCAGCCUCUGUUGUUUUGUUCUAGAGGUAGAGCUACUGAUUGGAUGCGAGGGCUUCACCGCCUAUCAAAUCCGGCCAAACUCCGAAUGCUAGAACAUGAAGACAGGGAGUGAGCCAGCGGGUGCUAAGGUCCGUUGACGAAAGAGGGAGAACUCAGACCAUCAGCUAAGGUCCCCAAUUAUAUGCUAAGUUGGAAUUAAAACGGGGUGGGACUGCUUAGACAGCUAGGAUGUUGGCUUGGAAGCAGCCAUUCAUUUAAAGAGUGCGUAACAGCUCACUAGUCGAGCGGUCCUGCAUGGAUAAUACGCGGGCAUAAGCAUAUAACCGAAGCUAUGGGAUUGUAGAUGAUACAAUCGGUAGGAGAGCAUUCCAUUCAGCAUAGAAGCAGUACCGUGAGGUAUUGUGGAGCGGAUGGAAAAGCAAAUGUAGGCAUAAGUAACGAUAAUGCGGGUGAGAACCCCGCACGCCGAAAGAUCAAGGAUUCCCCGGCAAUGUCAAUCAUCCGGGGGUAAGUCGGAUCCUAAGGGUAAGCCGAGUGGCGAUCCCGAUGGCAAACAGGUUAAUAUUCCUGUACUGAUCAUAACUGCGAUGCAGCGACGCAGAGGUGACACUGCUGCGUACUGACGGAAUAGUACGUUGAAACCCGUAUUCUUUGAUACCGGUAGUGAAGCACGCCGGUAGAGAUGAAAGGUGAUAGUACCGCAAUGCUUCGGUUGCGCGGAUAACGCAGGUAAGCUGACUGCCAAGAAAACCUGCUAAGCUUCAGGUAAUGAUCAUCCGUACUGUAAACGGACACACGUGAUCAGGUAGAAAAUACUAAGGCGCUCGAGAGAUUCAUGGUUAAGGAACUAGGCAAAAUGGUCCUGUAACUUCGGGAUAAAGGACGCUCUUGUGAAAGAGCCGCAGAUAAUAGGCCCAGGCGACUGUUUACCAAAAACACAUGGCUAUGCUAAUUCGCAAGAAGAUGUAUAUGGCCUGACACCUGCCCGGUGCCGGAAGGUUAAGAGGAGAGCUCAGAGGUAACUCGAAGGUUUGAAUUGAAGCCCCGGUAAACGGCGGCCGUAACUAUAACGGUCCUAAGGUAGCGAAAUUCCUUGUCGGGUAAGUU